UUUCCGCAGCUGAGCGGCGACCCGGGCGGCGGCGGCGGUCGAGGAGCUCCCAUGGCAGGGACGAGGCGGAGGGAAGGCGAAAGGGGGGCGAGGAGUUAAGCCAGAGCCUCCGCGGGGCGGGUUUCCGAGGGAGGCACAGAGGGAAACGGCUUUCGCAGCCGGAGGAGGGUCGGGCGCGGAGCUUGUCGCCCCUCUCGCGCAUUCUGUCCAGCCCGGGCUCCGGAGAUGCAUCUGCAUCAGGUCCUCACCGGGGCUGUCAACCCUGGAGACAACUGCUACUCCGUGGGCAGCGUCGGGGAUGUCCCCUUCACGGCAUAUGGAUCAGGCUGUGAUAUUGUUAUUUUGGCAAAUGACUUUGAAUGUGUACAGAUCAUUCCUGGUGCUAAGCAUGGAAACAUCCAAGUCAGCUGUGUGGAGUGUUCUAACCAACAAGGAAGAAUUGCAGCUUCAUAUGGUAAUGCUGUUUGUAUAUUUGAGCCCUUGGGCAUAAAUUCUCAUAAAAGAAAUUGUGUAAGUAUUAACCAAUAAUAGACUACUUUUAGAAUCUAGUUAACUUUAGAAUCCAAUUGAUGUUAAUAAAAAGCUCCUUAGGAGCUAGUGCUGAAAAUAGACUAGAGUAUCAGUGAAAAAUUGGUCUAGUGCUUUAUGUUAGGAUCCUUACAUUCACUAGGGACACAUCCCUAGUGCUUUUAGAAACCCAAGUCUCUAGAAUAUUGCAAAUUGAUAUUUACUGUGUUAAUUGAGAUCUACCCUAGUUUGAACUACUGUUACUUCUUGUCGGAUUACUAAUCUCUAUCUGAUAUUUGGUUUCCUGCUGCCUUCAACCCCAGUCUCUGUUCUCAACAGAGCAGAUCAUGACAUUUCUCUGCUUAAAACUUUGUAAUGGUUCCAUAUUUCUCUCUCUUUUUUCUUUUGUUUUGAGACAGGGUCUCACUCUAUCCCCUAGGCUGGAGUGCAGUGGCAUGAUCACUGCUCACUGCAGCCUCAACCUGUCAAAUGGUCCUCCCACCUCAACCUCCCAAGUAGAUGGGACUACAGGCAUGUACCACCAUGGCCAGCUAAGUUUUAAAUUUUUCGUAGAGAUGGAGUUUCCCUGUGUUGCUCAGGCUGGUCUUGAACUCUGGGGCUAAGUGAUCCUCCCACUUCAGCCUCCCAAAUUGCUGGAAUUAUGGGCAAGAGCCACCAUGCCCAGCUGCUCCAUAUUUCUUUCAGAUAAAAAGCCAAAAGCCUUUUGUAGUCUACAACUUCCUUUCUACUCAAUACCACACUUACUGUGUCUCAGAGCUCACCUCCUAAGUUCUUGUCCUCUCUGGUUCUACUCUGGCCACAUUGGCAUUUUUACUGUUUCUCAGUUAACCUUCCCUCUUUGAGCCUUUGUGUUGGUUGUUUUCUUUGUCAGGAAUGUUAGUCCUCCAGCUAUCUCCAAGGAUAGCUCCCAUAGAUCCUUUAGGUCUUUGCUCACUAAUACCUUGUCAAUGAGGUUUACCUUGACUACCCUUUAAAAAAUUGUACCCCCACUUAUCUUGCUAUUUAAAAAUUUUUUUACAGCAUUUAUUUAUUUAUUGUUUACGAUGUAGAAUGUUAUCUAAAGGUACAUAAGGGUAGGAAGCUUUUUUCACUGAUGAAUCCCCAGUACUUAGAACAGUAUCUGGAACAGCCAGGUGUGGUGGCUCACACCUGUAAUCCCAACACUUUGGGAGGCCGAGGCGGGUGGAACACGAGGUCAGGGGUUUGAGAUCAGCCUGGCCAACAUGGUGAAACGCCGUGUCUACUAAAAAUAAAAAAAUUACCCAGGUGUGGUGGCACAUGCCUAUAGUCCCUGCUGCUCAGAAGGCUGAGGCAGGAGAAUCGCUUGAACCCAGGAGGUGGAGGUUGCAGUGAGCCUGGACUGCACCAUUGCACUCCAGCUUGGGAGUCAGAGCAAGACUCCAUCUCAAAAAAAAAAAAAAAAAAAAAAAAAAA
RNAcentral lists this small RNA (1962 nucleotides) under Pongo abelii (Sumatran orangutan). RNAcentral's name for it is "retained intron". The record is from RNAcentral. Lineage: Eukaryota; Metazoa; Chordata; Mammalia; Primates; Hominidae.